GGAGAGGUGCUGGAGUGGUUGAACAGGCUCGCCUGGAAAGCGUGUAAUGGGGGAAACCUCAUUCGUGGGUUCGAAUCCCACCCUCUCCGCCA
RNAcentral lists this transfer RNA (92 nucleotides) under Dehalococcoidia bacterium. RNAcentral's name for it is "tRNA-Ser". It matches the Rfam family "tRNA". Rfam says of the family: Transfer RNA (tRNA) molecules are approximately 80 nucleotides in length. Their secondary structure includes four short double-helical elements and three loops (D, anti-codon, and T loops). The record is from RNAcentral. Lineage: Bacteria; Bacillati; Chloroflexota; Dehalococcoidia.